UUCCUACGGGAGGCUGCAGUGGGGAAUCUUGCGCAAUGGGCGAAAGCCUGACGCAGCCAUGCCGCGUGAAUGAUGAAGGUCUUAGGAUUGUAAAAUUCUUUCACCGGGGACGAUAAUGACGGUACCCGGAGAAGAAGCCCCGGCUAACUUCGUGCCAGCAGCCGCGGUAAUACGAAGGGGGCUAGCGUUGCUCGGAAUUACUGGGCGUAAAGGGAGCGUAGGCGGACAUUUAAGUCAGGGGUGAAAUCCCGGGGCUCAACCUCGGAAUUGCCUUUGAUACUGGGUGUCUUGAGUAUGAGAGAGGUGUGUGGAACUCCGAGUGUAGAGGUGAAAUUCGUAGAUAUUCGGAAGAACACCAGUGGCGAAGGCGACACACUGGCUCAUUACUGACGCUGAGGCUCGAAAGCGUGGGGAGCAAACAGGAUUAGAUACCCUUGUAGUCGAAUUCUU
RNAcentral lists this ribosomal RNA (450 nucleotides) under uncultured bacterium. RNAcentral's name for it is "bacterial SSU rRNA". It matches the Rfam family "Bacterial small subunit ribosomal RNA", at positions 336 to 803 of the family's 1533-position model. The record is from RNAcentral.